CGGCGGCUUACACAUGCAAGUCGAGGGGUAACGGGUCACUUCGGUGAUGCCGACGACCGGCGCACGGGUGAGUAACGCGUAUGGAACCUACCUGCAACAGGGGGAUAGCUUCCGGAAACGGGGAUUAAUCCCCCAUAGAGUUUAUAGAUGGCAUCAUAUAUAAACUAAAGCUUAGGCGGUUGUAGAUGGACAUGCGUACCAUUAGUUAGUUGGUGAGGUAAGGGCUCACCAAGGCAGCGAUGGUUAGGGGUCCUGAGAGGGCAGUCCCCCACACUGGUACUGAGACACGGACCAGACUCCUACGGGAGGCAGCAGUGAGGAAUAUNGGUCAAUGGGCGAUAGCCUAAACCAGCCAUGCCGCGUGCAGGAGGACGGCCCUACGGGUUGUAAACUGCUUUUCUGUGGGAAGCAUUCCCUGAUUUAGCAUCAGGGUUGACGGUACUACAGGAAUAAGCAUCGGCUAACUCCGUGCCAGCAGCCGCGGUAAUACGGAGGAUGCGAGCGUUAUCCGGAUUCAUUGGGUUUAAAGGGUGCGCAGGCGGUGGAGCAAGUCAGUGGUGAAAGCCCGGAGCUUAACUUCGGGAUUGCCAUUGAAACUGUUUCACUUGAGUGUAGUUGAGGACGGCGGAAUGAGUUGCGUAGCGGUGAAAUGCAUAGAUAUAACUCAGAACACCAAUUGCGAAGGCAGCUGUCUAGAUUACAACUGACGCUGACGCACGAGAGCCGUGGGGAGCGAACAGGAUUAGAUACCCUGCUAGUCCACGGCUGUAAACGAUGAUCACUCGUUGUUGGCUACUUAGUAGUCAGUGACUAAGGGAAACCGUUAAGUGAUCCACC
RNAcentral lists this ribosomal RNA (837 nucleotides) under uncultured bacterium. RNAcentral describes it as "bacterial SSU rRNA". It matches the Rfam family "Bacterial small subunit ribosomal RNA", at positions 40 to 873 of the family's 1533-position model. The record is from RNAcentral.